CAGCUCCAGCGUUUUGGGAGGCAGUAGUUGAGAAUCCCUGAAUGGGUACGCUGUAACUCUUACAUCUUCCUAGAGAUAUGAACUUCUGAAGUAGCUAAAAACUACAAACAAAUGUUCCCACUGCCCAUUUUCCUGCCCUCUCCCUGUAGGCCCAAGGUGUCCAGAAACAAGUGCAAGAGGUGUGAAGGAAGCAGCUUAGUCUCUAAGGCUCAGAGAAGGCAGCAAGGAAGAGCAGCAGUAGGCCUCAAAGGUUUGAGAGUAGGCCCCUUGCAGGAAAGUGGGGCUCACCAGAAAUGCCUACCCUUGACGGCCCUGAAAUUUUGAGGGCAGCCAAAUGAGGACGCAGUAAAAACUGCCAGUGCCAGAAGUCUAAUGUGUGAAACCAGCAUUCUAUAAGGAAUUGAGAGCUGAACACCCUGUUCUUCAAAAUGUGCAACUUUAUAUAGUGGUGUUACUAUUCUUGAUGCCAGCCCCUCAGUGGAAAGUACGCAAUUUUCUGUGACUGACAGUUUUUCCCGUGUUACCUAAAACAGAGAGAGAACAACCACAUGCAAAAUUUAUUGGUGCUCAUUGGUUGAAAGAAUAUUGUCAGGCUACAAAGGCAAGAGCAGCUGGAAAACACACCAGACUUGGGAGAAUCAAGAAUUAUUUUUGGCUGUGGGAAAAUUUGUGCAUCCUUUUGUGAGACACAUUAUGUAAGAACCAUCUCUGUGAGUACAAACUGAACCGGGGUAUACCCCAAUGCAGAAAAAGGAACUGUGCUUAAAUUAAAAUGUCUAAAUUCUUAGUUGUUUUUGCAGGCAUGCUUAUACGGAGGCCUGAAUUUUUGUUUCUGCUUGCAAUGUCUCCUUGAAGGAGAAACAACCUUGGUUGGUGU
Molecule: long non-coding RNA, 877 nt
Organism: Podarcis raffonei (Aeolian wall lizard)
Lineage: Eukaryota; Metazoa; Chordata; Lepidosauria; Squamata; Lacertidae
Exons: 4
Source: RefSeq, a predicted model, not a curated record